Molecule: ribosomal RNA, 407 nt
Filed under: uncultured bacterium
Lineage: Bacteria
Description: partial 16S ribosomal RNA
Rfam family: Bacterial small subunit ribosomal RNA
Source: RNAcentral
AUUGAACGCUGGCGGCAGGCCUAACACAUGCAAGUCGAGCGGAGCGGCGGACGGGUGAGUAAUACCUAGGAAUCUGCCUGGUAGUGGGGGAUAACGUCCGGAAACGGGCGCUAAUACCGCAUACUAUCAGAUGAGCCUAGGCUGGAUUAGCUAGUUGGUGGGGUAAAGGACUACCAAGGCGACGAUCCGGAACUGGACUGAGAGGGUGAUCAGUCACACUGGAACUGAGACACGGUCCAGAAGCCGACGGGAGGAAGCAGUAGGGAAUAUAGGACAAUGGGCGAAAGCCUGAUCCAGCCAUGCCGCGUGUGUGAGGAAGGUCUUCGGAUUGUAAAGCACUUUAAGUUGGGAGGCGUUACCAACAGAAAAAGCACCGGCUAACUUCGGGCCAGCAGCCGCGGUAAUAC